RNAcentral lists this long non-coding RNA (613 nucleotides) under Homo sapiens (human). RNAcentral describes it as "non-protein coding lnc-MYO5C-2:3". The record is from RNAcentral. Lineage: Eukaryota; Metazoa; Chordata; Mammalia; Primates; Hominidae.
CGUCAAGAACUAGAAUCAGAAAACAAAAAACUGAAGAAUGAGCUAAAUGAGUUGCGCAAGGCCCUCAGUGAGAAAAGUGCCCCAGAGGUGACCGCCCCAGGUGCACCUGCCUACCGUGUCCUCAUGGAGCAGCUGACCUCUGUGAGCGAGGAGCUUGAUGUCCGCAAGGAGGAAGUCCUCAUCUUAAGGUCUCAACUGGUGAGCCAGAAAGAGGCCAUCCAACCCAAGGUAAGCGCAAGCACACAAUUAAACUGAUUCCACAAUACUUUUGGAAGAUGUACAAAAAAUGAAAGAUAAAGGUGAAAUAGCACAAGCAUACAUUGGUUUGAAAGAAACAAAUAGCUCCUGGAAUCCCAGCUGCAGUCACAGAAGAGGAGCCAUGAGAAUGAGGCCGAGGCCCUCCGUGGGGAGAUCCAGAGCCUGAAGGAGGAGAACAACCGACAGCAGCAGCUGCUGGCCCAGAACCUGCAGCUGCCCCCAGAGGCCCGCAUUGAGGCCAGCCUGCAGCACGAGAUCACCCGGCUGACCAACGAAAACUUUAUUUUGAGGAAUUAUAUGCAGAUGACCCUAAGAAGUAUCAAUCAUAUCGGAUUUCCCUUUACAAACGGAUGAU